GUUCUCUAGGUUAUAUUAUUAUCUAGACUCAAUGGACAAUGUAGAUAAAUGGAGAAUAUAGGGUUUGAAGAUUUAGUCCUCUGAUUCUUGGCCAAGGCGUAUAGAAAUUAAUACACACUUUCAGUUUUUUUGUGGAACAAUUAUUUCUCAUAAAAACCGGAAGAUUAACAUACAAUUAUUUUUUUAUACACCUUCAAAAAUAGGGUAACCAAAUGUAAAUUUAAAUUUAUUAUUUUUUCUUUUUACAUUUUAAUAUAAUUAUUAUUAAAAUACUAUAAAAAAGUUGAUAUCAUAAUAUAAAAUAAUUGAUAUUUUUAUAAGGAAAAACUAACUCGUGCAUUGCACGGGUAAUUUAUACUCCAUCCGUUUUAAAUUACUUGACGUUUUAGAAAAUUUUAUUUUUUUAAAAUUACUUGUCUUUUUAUAAUUUAAGGUUAUAUUUUGUCUAUUAUACCCUCAUGUAAAUUUCAAAUAUUUAGGAGUAGUUGUUGAAACCGAAAAAGAUUUAAUAUAUAUUUGAAAAACUAAAGUUUUUUUUAAAAAUUUUUUGUACAUAUAUUAAUUUUUUUGUGGUACAUGACAUAUUAAAUUUAUUGGAAAGAGAAAGUGUGUGAAAAAAUAUUUGUGAAUUAAAAUAAGAAUAUAAUAAAAAAAUAAAAUGCAAAAAUAUAAUUUCUUAAUUUUUUAUUUUUUUUUUAAAACGUCAAGUAAUUAUAAACGGAGGGAGUACCGGUUAUAAAUAUUAAUGAAACUUUUUUGUACCAGCAAAAAGAGUGAUAACCAAAACAAGCCACCAUCGCCGUCAUGUCAUAUUUUCCUUCUUAAUAUUUCCUUAUUUCAAUUUGAAUCGAGGGGAAAUACUAUUGUCACCUCACCUCACGUCAAUUAUAUACGCACCUCGUGUACCGCGUGUCGUUACAUUACAUGAUUGUGACCAAACGUAAAUGUCAGACCAUGUACGUACUAAUGGAUGGCUAGAAAACCAGGAUUGGGGUACCUACCUUUUUUUUUAUUUAAAAAAAGUGAAUUAUUAUUUGAUAUACCGGUACAUCUUAUUUGAAUGUGUAUCGAUACAUUUAAUGGCGUAGCUAGUCAGAAAAAUUGCGGCGGACCAUUACAAAUAUAAAUGGAAAAUGAAAAAAGAUUAAUAAAAAAAAAAGACAUGCCAUAUUUAGUGUGGGUCUAAUAUUGAUAUCUCAAAAAUAAUUAAAAGGUGGACCAUUACUAUUUUUAAUAAAUAAAUUUCAAAAAUAUAUUAUGAUUUUUUUUUUAUCAAUUCUUGUGUAAACUUCAUACUUGUUAAUUGGUAUUGUAUUUAUGUUUAUAGUUUAUAUGAAUCUCUCCAAAAAUUUAAUUUUUUAUACCAAAAGAUUGAUCAAACAUGAAUUUUUAUACACAAACUCUAUUUUAAAUAAAACUUUGAGUACUUUUUUCUCCAAAAAAAUAUACUUGAAUACUUCGACAAAAUAAAUUACACAUUUUAAAACAUCUAUAAAUUAUUAAAUAAUAAAACAUUAGAAGGGAUGCUUAACAAAAAAAAAUUAACAAGGACAUUUGAAUUAUUAAUAGAAUUCUCGGUCGUCCAAAUAGCGCCGCAAACUGUAAACCUGUUAAAGAAUUCUGGAAGAUCUGGUUUGAAACCCCCGCAAACUGAAAGGUAACACAUUACACAUACUAUUUAGCGAGGGUUUAUAACCGCUAAUAAAAUGGUAUACCUAUAAAAAAAUUAAAAAUUAUGGGGCGGGCCAUGACCCUACCCAGUCCAUGAAGGGCUCCGCCGCUGGGUACAUUAUUGAGGUGGAGAAUUAUGAUAGUGAUAGAAAUUUAGCAAGUGUACUAAAUUGUCGUCAAGUAAUAAAAUCAAAGUUCGUAUCCACAGGGAUUGUUUCAAUCUCGACAAAACAAUUAAAUUAAUUUAGGAUUAAUAAUUAAAAUGCAAAGGGGGGAGUUUAACUUGAUUUGGAUUUUUAUCAUAAACUUAGAAAUAACUUGGGAUUCAAAUUGAAUGAAAGAAAAGCGAUCGCUCCUUUUGGUUCAUCUAAUUACUAUUUCUCUUGGUAAUUUCAUGUAUGAUUACAAAUUACUCAAUUUAGUUUCAUGAUUAGAUUAAAUCUUAAGUGAUUAUGUCCAAUGUCUUGGUAACAUAAUUCUCUCCCUUGAUCAUCGAUUCCUAAUGUCUUAGGUAAUCUAUGAUCAAUUGAGGAAUAUAAACUUUAAUCCGUUAAUUUCAAUUAACAAUCCGAAAUGUCUUAAGUGAAAGCUAAUUGAUCAAUUAUUCAUAGAUCGAUGAUUUAUUCCUAUCGUCAUAGUAAAACAAAUCAUUGAAAUCAUCAUAUAAGUCGUGAAUUCAUACAAAGCAUUAAGCACAAAGAAUAAUCAAAGAAACUAACUUCGUAAUUUAUUGAUCAUAUCAAAUGAUAAUCACAUGGUUCAAGAUCAAUUGAAAUUAAAAUUCCCUAAGAACCAAUCAAGAAUUUAGCUACACAUAGUAAAAUAGAAAUCAAUCAACAAAGGAGGAAAUUAAAACCAAUCUUAUGUGCUUGUAGCCGUUCCUUCAAUUUCCUUCUUCCUCUGCUUCAACUUCCUCGUCCUGUAGCGUGUUGUUGCUGUACGUGAUGUGUUGUUCCUCUUGGGCGUGAUCCCUUCUUUUUGAACAGUGCGCCACUCUUUUCUUAUAUGCCAUAUGCAAUGAAUCCUCAUGUAACUUCUUGGGCCACUUUGGGAUAAGACCACUUGCAUUUUCUUGGGUCAUCCAUUGGUUUGUUUUCUAUUCACACCAACCCAUUACACUAAAACAUCUAUUAAUAAUUUUUUGCAGUCAACCAUAAACAUGUUAAGUUGAACCAAGAAAAUAAAAACAAUACAAAAUAUUAUAUUAAUAGAGAAAAACACUUAAUUGACUCAAUAAACCAAUAAUUGCAAUUUAUUUAAAAUGACUCUAAAUUAAACACUAAACUAAUAAAAUGAUAUUAAAACUUAUUAAAAAGACUUUAAAAAUAACGACUGAUGAUGACUCAUCACAACCCCAUAGUUAAUCUGUUGCUUGUCCUCAAGGAACAAUGCUUUCAAAAGAGUGCAACUCAACCUCAAACACCAAACCAAACAUUCAUGUUAAUCUAUCUCCGUAAUCAAUAAGAACAAAACAUGUCAUUUUACAAAAAUUAUCAUGCUCACGGUCACUUUCAUCUACUAACAACCAAUUGGAAAUUCAAAACAAUUCAUCCAACAUUCAUCCAUCAAGCUCAAUUCUCUCUUCGCACAAUCUCACCAAAAUUCUCUCAAGUGUUUAGGGACAUACACUCAAUCAACACAAUCUACACCUUUCUACCAUAGGCUUGUAAGGACUCUAAAAAUCGAUCGACAUACAAUGAAUAUGCACCUUUCGAGGACUUUUCGGGUUAUAGCGUGGCUUAUGUUUAUUGAAGGGUGGAUAUUUUUGGGAAACUAGGUAGAAAAACUUGAAGCUUAUAAGAUCACCUAUUUCAAAUAAAAUUGGACAAAUAAAUUGAUCCCCCAAAAUCAUCAAAUUCAUACUAGAGAACUUAAUUAUCAUUUUUUUUUCUUUUCCUCAUGCAAAUGAAUUCACAAUGUGUGAACUCAUUCCAUGGUCACAUUUUUUUUUUUCUCAAAGAAGUCCCUCGACAAAUUUGUUUUUAUUCUUUUUUUUUUUUUUCAAACAUGGUGUUAUGCAUUUUGCAUUCUCUUUAUUUAUUUAUUUUUCAUUUCUUUCACCAUUUCCAUUCUUUUUNNNNNNNNNNNNNNNNNNNNNNUUCUUUUAGUUCUCUAGUACCCCACCCCAAACUUAAUAGGUUGCAAAUCCCAAGAGCAACCCCAAACUUAAUGAUGAGCAUUGUGCUCAAAUCACAAGUUAGGUGAUCAACUUCAAGAAAAUCAUUUUUUUAUUAUUUUUUUUUGUAAAAAUUAUGUGGUUUUCAAAAAGAAGUAAGAUCAAAAUAUUUUUCUUUCAAUAAGGCUCAAAGGGUCUAGCAAGGGAUUAUAAUAUUCAAGGGUAGGCUACAAAGGCUCAAGCUCACAAAAACGUGCCUCGGUGCAUUAUUCAUCGCAAUCAAUCAAUCAAGAGAAUUCAAGCAAGUUCUAGAGAAUAGGAGAGACGUGGAACUCACAUAGUCAAGAAAGAAAUUCAAGUGUUUAAGCUCAAGACCUCACAGUUAGGAUAAUAGAGAAGAAUUAGAGCCAUUAGGAAUCAUGCUAAACAAACAGAAAUCAUUUCCUCAAAAAUCAUCAGCAAACUAAUAUAACCAAAGAGCAAUCAAUAAUGUAAGUUNNNNNNNNNNNNNNNNNNNNNNNNNNNNNNNNNNNNNNNNNNNNNNNNNNAACAAACUAACAAGCACAUUCUAGUUAAAUGCUCAAAAUCAAGUCACACAUAAAAUAUUAACUCAAACAGAUAAGGAUAGAGUAGUGACAAAUUCAUUCAACAGUGUUUUUUAUUACUUAAUAAAAUGCAAAAAUUAAAAAAAAAUAAAUUAAAGACCGAGUUACCUAUCAUGGGUUGCCUCCCAAGAAGCGCUUCUCACACUCAUUUGCCAACUUCUCACACUCAUUUACCUUUUCAACAAGAUUACCACACUCAACUUCAAAUCCAUCAAAUGAACCUUGAUUUGACCUCAAAAAUUCAUCCAAAAUCUUUUUGAGUUGAAAGUUGUAAUCAAUGUUGAUCACUUCGCACUCUUUUUCCUUCAAACAAUACUCAUCACAAUAGUCAUUGUGAUGAUUCGCUCCACAAAAAUC
This 4749-nucleotide long non-coding RNA is filed under the name Trifolium pratense (red clover). Its description in RNAcentral is "long non-coding RNA (TPRA_LNC001801)". The record is from RNAcentral. Lineage: Eukaryota; Viridiplantae; Streptophyta; Magnoliopsida; Fabales; Fabaceae.